AAGAGAAAAGUAUUAGCGGUAUUGAUGACACUAACAACAACGCACCAGGCAACCUUACUUUCCCAGCAUCCGUGGGUGCCACUGAGGUCGGUGACCAUCACUCUGAAAAACAACAGUGCACUUUGGAGAAUACUUUAAAAACGGCUCUGGAUGCUGCCACGCAUAUAGAUAAAAUGGGAUUUGAAGAAGAAGCGAAAAAUUUGGAACUCUUUUUUUUAAAUGAUUUGUCCUUAAAAAACGUCAUCUCGCUAUGCUUAAUAGACCCACAGUUUCCUUUACUAGUCAAGCUUUGUAAGGCGUAUAUACACGGGAUAACUAGUAAUUCAGCAAAAAGUAGCA
Zophobas morio is the source of this 339-nucleotide long non-coding RNA. RefSeq lists it as uncharacterized. The transcript is spliced from 3 exons. Lineage: Eukaryota; Metazoa; Arthropoda; Insecta; Coleoptera; Tenebrionidae. The record is from RefSeq and is a predicted model, not a curated record.